GACGAACGCUGGCGGCGUGCUUAACACAUGCAAGUCGAACGGAAAGGCCCUGCUUUUGUGGGGUGCUCGAGUGGCGAACGGGUGAGUAACACGUGAGUAACCUGCCCUUGACUUUGGGAUAACUUCAGGAAACUGGGGCUAAUACCGGAUAGGAGCUCCUGCUGCAUGGUGGGGGUUGGAAAGUUUCGGCGGUUGGGGAUGGACUCGCGGCUUAUCAGCUUGUUGGUGGGGUAGUGGCUUACCAAGGCUUUGACGGGUAGGCGGCCUGUGAGGGUGACCGGCCACAUUGGGACUGAGAUACGGACCAGACUCCUACGGGAGGCAGCAGUGGGGAAUAUUGCACAAUGGGCGGAAGCCUGAUGCAGCAACGCCGCGUGCGGGAUGACGGCCUUCGGGUUGUAAACCGCUUUCGCCUGUGACGAAGCGUGAGUGACGGUAAUGGGUAAAGAAGCACCGGCUAACUACGUG
This 468-nucleotide ribosomal RNA is filed under the name uncultured bacterium. RNAcentral describes it as "partial 16S ribosomal RNA". It matches the Rfam family "Bacterial small subunit ribosomal RNA", at positions 28 to 507 of the family's 1533-position model. The record is from RNAcentral.